UUUUUGUUGUUUAAGUCUGUAUAGACAUCAUUUGAUUGAUGAUAAACAACCAGUUUUGAUUGAUUGAAUCUUUCAGGGUCUCUAUCUCGAAUACCAAAAGAUGAAUCUCUAAACAUCACCUUGAAAGUUCUUCAAUGUAAAGUUCUUAGCAUAUCUCCUAUUAAGCUAUGGAUUACAACAAGAAUAUUGAAUUUGUAGCUAUGGAUCACUAAACAUGUACAACUCUCGUGGAGCUGUUGAGGAAGUUGACAUCUUUAGUGAUACCUCUAAGUGUAAAAUAAGAAUUAAGGGAAGAGGACCUGGCAGGUUUGGAGCUUACUUUAGUACAAAACCCAAGUCUUGCUCGGUAAACUCUUGAAGUACUGAGGAUUUUAAGUACAGAAAUGAAGACAAUCUUUUGACAGUAACAAUUCCAAGCACAAUCAGUAACUGGGAUAUCACUCUUCACUAUUGAGAUCCUCUCAAUUUUUACAAGGCAAAGCCUCAACUGCAAGAAAAACAAUGGUUUGGUUUUUCCAAGUGUGACUCGAGAAGAAAGACCAUGUGAUGAUUUGAUUAUGUGGGAAAAGAGGGUGAGGGACUCACCACAUAGCUAAUUACAUGACUGAUGAAAAGUUGACUCAUUUGAAAAUGCACAUUGGAACAUUCAUUCUCGUCAAUCAUCACUGUAGUGUUUGAUAUGAUAUGUAUAUAAUUAGGUUGUAGAGUAGUUUUGGAUAAAUACACUAAGUUGGAGGCCCCUUAUAUGAUUGCCUCUUAACUUUUCAUCUUGGUUUCAUGCUAGAUUAAUCACAAGUGAAGGAUUAGUAAUAGUUAGUAAUAAUCUCGCUGUCUUACUAUGGUGUUGUAGAAAUGAAGGUUGUAAUUGAAGGAAUUAACUUAUGUAAUUUCAGCUCCAAUAUCAUACUUA
Long non-coding RNA from Cannabis sativa, 910 nucleotides. RefSeq lists it as uncharacterized. The transcript has 2 exons. The record is from RefSeq and is a predicted model, not a curated record. NCBI's taxonomy places the organism in Eukaryota, Viridiplantae, Streptophyta, Magnoliopsida, Rosales, Cannabaceae.